GACGAACGCUGGCGGCGUGCUUAACACAUGCAAGUCGAACGGAAAGGCCCUGCUUUUGUGGGGUGCUCGAGUGGCGAACGGGUGAGUAACACGUGAGUAACCUGCCCUUGACUUUGGGAUAACUUCAGGAAACUGGGGCUAAUACCGGAUAGGAGCUCCUGCUGCAUGGUGGGGGUUGGAAAGUUUCGGCGGUUGGGGAUGGACUCGCGGCUUAUCAGCUUGUUGGGGGGGUAGGGGCUUACCAAGGCUUUGACGGGUAGCCGGCCUGAGAGGGUGACCGGCCACAUUGGGACUGAGGUACGGCCCAGCAUCCUACGGGAGGCAACGGGGGGGAAUAUUGCACAAUGGGCGGAAGCCUGAUGCAGAAACGCCGCGUGCGGGAUGACGGCCUUCGGGUUGUAAACCGCUUUCGCCUGUGACGAAGCGUGAGUGACGGUAAUGGGUAAAGAAGCACCGGCUAACUACGUG
RNAcentral lists this ribosomal RNA (468 nucleotides) under uncultured bacterium. RNAcentral describes it as "partial 16S ribosomal RNA". It matches the Rfam family "Bacterial small subunit ribosomal RNA", at positions 28 to 507 of the family's 1533-position model. The record is from RNAcentral.